CUUAAGACGUCGACUAGAUUAACAGUCGCCGAAUAAGCACCGUCUUAAGUCUGAGCUUAAACAUUUGCUUAGAAAAGUAAAUGCUUAUUGGUGUAGAUUCACAGUCGAUGCUUAAUAAAGUCUUAAGAUCUUAUGAAUUCAUAGUCGAAUAAGUCCGUCUUAUUUGUAGAAAACGAGUUCUAAUUUGGCUUUAUUGAGGUUAGAUUUUUAAGUUGACGAUAUUGAGGACUUAAGCACGCGUUUGAAGUUGUUAUUGUGCAGUGAUGGGACGAGAGAGAGAGUAGGUUAGGGUACACGAAUACGGUAGAAGAGAUUGUGUUUGCGGUAUUAUGCUACUGCAAGUUUUCAACUUAUUCUGGGAAACACGAUGAAUGUUUCUCAGCCCACAGUCUCCCGCAUAGUAUUUAGGGUGGGUUUACUAAUAGGCAGUCUGAUGAUGGAGUAUAUCAAGUUUUCCAGUGAUCCGGACAAUUCCACUCAAAAUCGCAGGUUAUUCAAUAAUCUGGGACAGGGAAACGGAGCUAUUGGUUUACCAGGUGUGGAUAGCGCUAUUGAUUGCACCCACAUUAGAUUAACAGCAUCCAGGUUCAACAACAUGGAAGAAAUGUACAGAAAUAGAAAAGGAUAUUUUUCAUGACACCCCUGCGGAAUCCACAGACUGAAGAAGAAAUAAGGUACAAUGAAAUCCAGAUCAGGACCCGACAGAUAGUAGAAAGAACGUUCGGUGUUUGGCAUUCUUGUAGAAGAAGAUGGAAUUGAAAACCAAAAUCAAGAUGGAGAAGAAUUAUUAGGAAACGUGGAAAAUGUUAAUGGCAUUGAUGGAUUUGCUACACGUGAAGCACUGAUUGCCCGUAUGUUUCAUUGUGUAAUUAUGUCAAACGAAAUGUAAUAAGGGGUUUUUCAUGCCGCAAG
Long non-coding RNA from Osmia bicornis bicornis, 912 nucleotides. RefSeq lists it as uncharacterized. The record is from RefSeq and is a predicted model, not a curated record. The transcript is spliced from 4 exons. NCBI's taxonomy places the organism in Eukaryota, Metazoa, Arthropoda, Insecta, Hymenoptera, Megachilidae.